This 481-nucleotide ribosomal RNA is filed under the name uncultured bacterium. RNAcentral describes it as "partial 16S ribosomal RNA". It matches the Rfam family "Bacterial small subunit ribosomal RNA", at positions 28 to 507 of the family's 1533-position model. The record is from RNAcentral.
GACGAACGCUGGCGGCGUGCUUAACACAUGCAAGUCGAACGCUGAAGCUCAGCUUGCUGGGUGGAUGAGUGGCGAACGGGUGAGUAACACGUGAGUAACCUGCCCCCUUCUUUGGGAUAACGCCCGGAAACGGGUGCUAAUACUGGAUAUUCACUGAUCUUCGCAUGGGGGUUGGUGGAAAGGUUUUUUCUGGUGGGGGAUGGGCUCGCGGCCUAUCAGCUUGUUGGUGGGGUGAUGGCCUACCAAGGCUUUGACGGGUAGCCGGCCUGAGAGGGUGACCGGUAACAUUGGGACUGAGAUACGGCCCAGACGACUACGGGAGGCAGAAGUGGGGAAUAUUGCACAAUGGGCGAAAGCCUGAUGCAGCGUCGCCGAAUGAGGGAUGGAGGCCUUCGAGUUGUAAACCUCUUUCGCUCAUGGUCAAGCCGCAACAUUGGUUGUGGUGAGGGUAGUGGGUAAAGAAGCGCCGGCUAACUACGUG